Molecule: long non-coding RNA, 1879 nt
Organism: Neofelis nebulosa (Clouded leopard)
Lineage: Eukaryota; Metazoa; Chordata; Mammalia; Carnivora; Felidae
Exons: 2
Source: RefSeq, a predicted model, not a curated record
UCCCCUCGGCCCCCGCCCCGCGCGCUCCUUCGCCGCGCCCCGGCCCCGCCCCCGCCGGCGCGUCUCCAGCCAACCAGAAGCUGACUGAUCUGCAUAACGCGGCGCGCCCCGCCCACGCCCCGCCCCGCUCUCGCGGUCAGAAUGGUCUCUACGCCGCCACGACGUGGCGGGAAGGAAAAGGCGCCAAAAUGGAGGGGGAGGGGCGCGGGGCGUGAGGGGAGGCGGGAGCUGGGUGUCGAGCCGCGAGGGAGGAAGGAUGGGGAGGGGCGUAUCGAUUCAAACCCAAACAAUAACAAAGCCAUCAAAGGCCGCCGGAGGCCGGCUCUGCGGCUCUCUGUUUCUCGGAGGUUUUUGGGUCAAGGGCUCGAGCUGGAGCAUAACAAGUUGCGCGGGGACGACAGGCGUCGGAGAAAACCCAAGAGAACAAGAAUUGCUCCCUUUUGUUCAGACAGGAAAAUGAAACAUAAAUAGGAUGACACAGGGUCAUACAACAAUGACCCAAAUGCAACUUGGAGUGUUCAAAGAUUGCCUUUUAUCAGGGUCUACGACUGUCCUUGGUACUAAGACAUCAAGUGUAAAUGUAAGUGACCCAGCUCUUCCAAUCCCCUUUACCCUGUUCUCCUUUUUCGAGCCCUACAGGACAACCCCGACAUGCUCCCACUCACCCAGCACUUGCCAGACUUUCUGCCUCUCCAGAGGCAUCCAACCUAUUUCCGAGGGCAUCCUAGGGUUGCCCUCACCUCUUCACUUUUAUUUAAAGCCUUUCCAGCCUCCAGGACACCAGACUGUUAAACAACACCAAGCAUUCUUCACUGUCCACUCCACUCAUCUGACAAUCAUGUGUUUGGCUUUUUAUUUUUUUGGAUCUCCUUGUUGAUUAACUCCUCAAUUAGUUACACCUUGUUUCCCUAUUCUUUGAACAUUAUAUAUAUUUAUAUAUUUUUAAAGUAUUUUAUUAUGAUUUUUUUAAUGUUUAUUUAUUAUUUAUUUUUGAGAGAGAGAGUGUGAGAGGGGAAGGGGCAGAGAGAGAGAGGGAGACACAGAAUCUGAAGCAGACUCUAGGCUCUGAGGUGUCAGCACAGAGCCCGAUGCCGGGCUCGAACUCCUGAACUGCGAGAUCGUGACCUGAGCCAAAGGUGGAUGCUCAAUGCACUGAGCCACCCAGGCGCCCCAAACGUAUAUGUUUUUGUUGUCCAACACCUGUUGGACAACAUGUGUCGUUGAGGAGAAGGAGAAGACCAAAAUGAGUCUCAACAAAAAGGUCAUGAGAAAAGUCAACUGAUACUAAAUUUAAGUGAAUUAGGCGGGCUUGGGUAAAAUAAAGGGAAGGUGAGGAGCAAGGGGCUUAAAAAUAUGGGAUUUGGCACCUACUAGUUCUGUGACAUUCGUCACGUUACUUAACCUUUCUAAGCUUUAGACUCUGGAUGGAGAUAAUAGCACCUACCUCAUAGGGCUGUUGUAAGGCGCAAAUAAAAUUCUACAUGUAAAGCACGUAACCUAGCACAGAGUAAACUUCUAAUAAAUGUUAGCUGUGAUGACAAUAAUGACGAUUGUGAUUAUGACAAUAAUGACUUUGGAAUGGUCUUGUACCUUGGAGGUUCCAAAGGUGAAAUACUAGAUACAUCUGAUUGUAAUCAUCCAGGGACAGAAUGUGAUUCAAAAUAAUUGUAUACAUUAAAUCAAGUUCAACCUUUUUCACUUUCUCUAGAUCUUUGCAGGGCUAAAUAUUUAAUUAGGUAGAGCUAAAGUGAUUAACAUUUAAUAUGCUGCUUCGUAUGGUGGCUGCUUCACAGCUGGAAGUUACAAAACAUGGACCUUGCUUGGCAAAGAGCUUUUAUUUACUUAAAACUGCUUUUAAAGAUAAUUAUUAAACAUUCAA